RNAcentral lists this ribosomal RNA (565 nucleotides) under uncultured bacterium. Its description in RNAcentral is "bacterial SSU rRNA". It matches the Rfam family "Bacterial small subunit ribosomal RNA", at positions 338 to 916 of the family's 1533-position model. The record is from RNAcentral.
CCUACGGGAGGCAGCAGUGGGGAAUCUUGCGCAAUGGGCGAAAGCCUGACGCAGCAACGCCGCGUGCGGGAAGAAGGCUUUCGGGCUGUAAACCGCUUUCAGCAGGAACGAAAAUGACGGUACCUGCAGAAGAAGGAGCGGCCAACUAUGUGCCAGCAGCCGCGGUGAUACAUAGGCUUCAAGCGUUGUCCGGAUUUAUUGGGCGUAAAGAGUUCGUAGGCGGUCGAGUAAGUCGGGUGUGAAAAUUCUGGGCUCAACCCAGAGACGCCACCCGAUACUGCUUGACUUGAGUUCGAUAGGGGAGUGGGGAAUUCCUAGUGUAGCGGUGAAAUGCGCAGAUAUUAGGAGGAACACCGGUGGCGAAGGCGCCACUCUGGAUCGAUACUGACGCUGAGGAACGAAAGCAUGGGUAGCAAACAGGAUUAGAUACCCUGGUAGUCCAUGCCGUAAACGGUGGGCACUAGGUGUAGGGUUUCUAUUAACGAAAUCCGCGCCGUCGCUAACGCAUUAAGUGCCCCGCCUGGGGAGUACGGGUCGCAAGACUAAAACUCAAAGGAAUUGACGG